UGAGGAAUAUUGGUCAAUGGGCGAGAGCCUGAACCAGCCAAGUAGCGUGAAGGAUGACUGCCCUAUGGGUUGUAAACUUCUUUUAUAAGGGAAUAAAGUCGGGUAUGUAUACCCGUUUGCAUGUACUUUAUGAAUAAGGAUCGGCUAACUCCGUGCCAGCAGCCGCGGUAAUACGGAGGAUCCGAGCGUUAUCCGGAUUUAUUGGGUUUAAAGGGUGCGUAGGCGGUCCGGAAAGUCAGCGGUAAAAGCCCGGGGCUCAACCCCGGCGAGCCGUUGAUACUGGAUAUCUUGAGUGCAGUUGAGGCAGGCGGAAUUCGUGGUGUAGCGGUGAAAUGCUUAGAUAUCACGAAGAACUCCGAUUGCGAAGGCAGCUCACUAGACUGCAACUGACACUGAUGCUCGAAAGUGUGGGUAUCAAACAGG
Molecule: ribosomal RNA, 423 nt
Filed under: uncultured bacterium
Lineage: Bacteria
Description: bacterial SSU rRNA
Rfam family: Bacterial small subunit ribosomal RNA
Source: RNAcentral